This 93-nucleotide small nuclear RNA is filed under the name Trifolium pratense (red clover). Lineage: Eukaryota; Viridiplantae; Streptophyta; Magnoliopsida; Fabales; Fabaceae. The record is from RNAcentral.
UUCAUAUACAAAGAGUUAAGGUCAAAUAGAGAAUAUUAGCAUGGCCUCUCCACAAGGAUGACAUGCACAAAUCGAAAAAUAGUCUAAAUUUUU